UUGAGCAUGCAGACCUUUGAGGCUGCACACAAGUUAUUUUCUUGAUUCUCACAGCUCAUGGCGCCAACUUGAGCAUUUUAUCCUCAGAAGUGGUCAUUGAGGGAUCGGAUUGUGUCAAAGCAAGUCCGUAUGAUAUGAUUGAGGGUUGGCACUCAGUGUAUCUCUCUGUUAAACCAUUUUUUAAUGGCUUUAUUUA
Molecule: unclassified non-coding RNA, 196 nt
Filed under: uncultured fungus
Lineage: Eukaryota; Fungi
Description: sequence contains ITS1, 5.8S rRNA gene
Source: RNAcentral